Molecule: long non-coding RNA, 839 nt
Filed under: Marmota monax (woodchuck)
Lineage: Eukaryota; Metazoa; Chordata; Mammalia; Rodentia; Sciuridae
Source: RNAcentral
AAUUUUCACUUUAUGUUUUCCAUCUUCAGUUCCACUUGUCUAGGUGCAAAAAGAGGCUGUACCGAUGGCAGAGCAGUGCAGCCCCUGGGAAUGCCCUCCUCGGGACACCUCCUGCACAGGGGACACGUUUGGUGACUGCUCCCAUGAAGACGGCUUCUACUGAAAUUUUCCCAUCAAAAUAGGGAUUCCCACAAACAUGGCUUGAAUGAAGUGGGAUGAAUUCUAAACUCUCCUCUGAGGAGGCCACGACUUCUCUGAUACUAGGUCCUAGAGAGCUGGAAGUGCUUCCUGAGCCAUAAAGUGCUCCAAGGAGGGAAGACUCCACCCAAGCCUUCUGUCUUCACCACCAAGACAGAAUUUCUGAUUAAGGGCCAUCCGUGUUUCCCAGGAAUUCAACUUCCACAGGGUCAUCCUGUUCAAGAGGCUUCACCUCCUGUGAUGGGUCCACACCAGACCCUCUCAUCCAGAAGGUGGAACAGUCCAGCAGAGCACCUUGGACGCCAACCCUUGGGACACUUACUGAAAGUGACUCUAGUCUGCUUUUUCAUUUAGAACUGAAACAUAUGUCUUUAGGAUAAUGCAGAAGUAAUGCUCAUUCAACAUGGAUAAAUUUUGCAAAGCACAAAGAAAAUGAAUACUUCCUUUCAUUCCACCAUUCAGAAAUAAUGUUGUCUGAAUCUCUGUUAAUAUUUCAGUAUAUUUUUGGUAACCAGUAUCUAGUCUUCUGAGCAUAUCUGUAUUUUUAUUUGUUAAAUGUUUUAAGGCUUCCUGUGUUAUAACCUGCCUUGUCACUUCAUGUAUCAUAAAUAGCUUUCUAGGUCAUUAAAUAUGUGACCCCC